Molecule: ribosomal RNA, 468 nt
Filed under: uncultured bacterium
Lineage: Bacteria
Description: partial 16S ribosomal RNA
Rfam family: Bacterial small subunit ribosomal RNA
Source: RNAcentral
GACGAACGCUGGCGGCGUGCUUAACACAUGCAGGUCGAACGGAAAGGCCCUGCUUUUGUGGGGUGCUCGAGUGGCGAACGGGUGAGUAACACGUGAGUAACCUGCCCUUGACUUUGGGAUAACUUCAGGAAACUGGGGCUAAUACCGGAUAGGAGCUCCUGCUGCAUGGUGGGGGUUGGAAAGUUUCGGCGGUUGGGGAUGGACUCGCGGCUUAUCAGCUUGUUGGUGGGGUAGUGGCUUACCAAGGCUUUGACGGGUCGCCCGCCUGGGAGGGUGACCGGCGACCAUGGGACUGAGAUACGGCCCAGACUCGUACAGUAGGCAACAGUGGCGAAUAUUGCACAGUCGGCCGGCGUGUGAUGAAGAGACGCCGCGGGCGGGAUGACGGCCUUCGGGUUAUAAACCGCUUUCGCCUGUGACGAAGCGUGAGUGACGGUAAUGGAUAAAGAAGCACCGGCUAACUACGUG